Molecule: ribosomal RNA, 465 nt
Filed under: Vreelandella stevensii
Lineage: Bacteria; Pseudomonadati; Pseudomonadota; Gammaproteobacteria; Oceanospirillales; Halomonadaceae
Description: partial 16S ribosomal RNA
Rfam family: Bacterial small subunit ribosomal RNA
Source: RNAcentral
CCUACGGGUGGCUGCAGUGGGGAAUAUUGGACAAUGGGGGGAACCCUGAUCCAGCCAUGCCGCGUGUGUGAAGAAGGCCCUCGGGUUGUAAACCACUUUCAGUGAGGAAGAACGCCUGGUGGUUAAUACCCAUCAGGAAAGACAUCACUCACAGAAGAAGCACCGGCUAACUCCGUGCCAGCAGCCGCGGUAAUACGGAGGGUGCGAGCGUUAAUCGGAAUUACUGGGCGUAAAGCGCGCGUAGGUGGCUUGAUAAGCCGGUUGUGAAAGCCCCGGGCUCAACCUGGGAACGGCAUCCGGAACUGUCAAGCUAGAGUGCAGGAGAGGAAGGUAGAAUUCCCGGUGUAGCGGUGAAAUGCGUAGAGAUCGGGAGGAAUACCAGUGGCGAAGGCGGCCUUCUGGACUGAAACUGACACUGAGGUGCGAAAGCGUGGGUAGCAAACAGGAUUAGAUACCCCUGUAGUC